GACCUUCAGCUGUCAGCGUGCCGGUUUUAAUUAUCUCUGCCGUUGAUGUCUGCAAGUCUC
MicroRNA precursor from Oreochromis aureus, 60 nucleotides. The record is from Ensembl. Lineage: Eukaryota; Metazoa; Chordata; Actinopteri; Cichliformes; Cichlidae.